Non-coding RNA from Xylariaceae sp. FL0594, 104 nucleotides. The record is from the annotation of a GenBank genome assembly. Lineage: Eukaryota; Fungi; Ascomycota; Sordariomycetes; Xylariales; Xylariaceae.
GGCUCAAUGGUCUAGUGGUAUGAUUCCUGCUUUGGGUGGUUCUGAACCCCUUCUAUACUCAUGUAGAAUGCAGGAGGCCCCGGGUUCAAAUCCCGGUUGAGCCC